CACCUACAAACAUUCCACACACAAAACAUAAUCAUGGAAUCCUUAAAGAAUAUCGUUUUCCUCAUCGUUGCUAUAUCUCUAGUUCUUCAAGCCACGGUGCCACCAACUGCGUUAGCCGCUCGUAACGAGGUUAUGUCCUCUGCCGCUGUAUCGAAAGUGGCUAAUGGUUCCAACGGUUUGGCUGUGGUUUUCGAGAAGGUAGGCUCUGGCUGCAAACCUAAAGGUUCGUUUUGCUUGUUUGACCUAACCAGUUGCUGUAGGCCUUGCGGAUGCCUUGCAGGGUGGUGCUAUAACUAUGAUCAUGAAUGCAAUGAGUACACAUAAUGGUCGCUACUGAGUUAAAAAGAAAAAAGAAUAACAGCUCUGAGUCAGAAAACGACAUGGGAUUCAAUUAUAAAUGUUCUAUAUAUAACAUAUGUAUUUGAAUAAAGAAUCUCUCGUGUUAUGUCCCUGUUUGGUUGAGCUCUGCCAUUGUUGUAAGAGUUCAUGUUUUUCGUCUUCUCGUUGGUGUGUUGGUAUUGUGUGUACCCUUGUUAUUGGCAUAUGUAAUGAUAACUAAGUUUACGAGUAUUUACCUAUUUUCUUUUAUGUAUAAUAAUUUGAUACUAUUGCUAACUUUUUUUUAUGCACUUUUAACAUUGGUAAAUGUUAAAACUUUUUUUAUAAAUAAAUCUAAUAAAUAAAUUUUCAAGUAAAUAAAAAAUAAAGAAUCAUGAAGUUGAUUUAUUAUUUUCUUAUUCGAAAGGGAUAAAGAUAAUGUGGAAUAACAGUUUUAUACCAUUCUUUUAUAACAUUUUUCUAAAAAAUAAUUUAAGCCUCUUGCUCAAUUUUAAAUAUAAAAUACUUAUUUUAUAUUAUUUUAAAAAAAUUAAAAUUAAUUAUUCGAUUCGAUUCAGGGUUUUAACUUGAAAACCAAAACGAGUGAGUACUAGCCUACUAGAGUACGUAGAUCCAAUUAGCAAAUCAACACUAGUUUAUACGUGCUUCCUUUGAACCGCUUCCAAAUCAGCUCCAAAAAACUGCUAGAGGCUCGAGCAACUUAAAAACCUCAAAAAAAAUAAAAAUUAUAGAGCUGAAAAGCACAAAAAAUGCACCGUUGCAGAGGCAGGUGAGCUGAAAAACUAGCAGCUGAAAGGGACAAACCCGUCACGUGCAGCUCUCCAAUAGCAGGUCAUGGAAUUCAGUGAAGAAAAACCACAGCAGGCAUAAGCAGCACAAAACCAGACCCAAACAGCUCAAAAAACAGAGUUGAAACAGUUGAUUAGACCCAAACCAGCUCGAAUCAGUAGCAUCAUUUUCUAUAUAAAGGCCUCCUCCACCUACAAACCAUUCCUCACACAAAACAUAAUCAUGGAGUGGUGCAAGAAGUUCGCUUUUCUGAUGGUUGCAAUGGUGCUUCUUCAAUCCAUGGUGCCUCCGACAGCAUUAGCUGCUCGUAACAAUGUUAUGGAAUACAAUCCAUUGGCAAGCGUAUUCUCGAGGGAAGGCCCUGGCUGCAUCGCAAAAGGCGGGUUUUGCUUGUUUGACCUAACCAGUUGCUGUAGGCCAUGCGGAUGCCUUGCAGGGUGGUGCUAUAACAUUGAUCAUGAUUGCAAAGAGUACACAUAAUGGUCGCUACUGAGUUAAAAAAAAACAGUUCUGAGUCAAAAAAUGACAUGGGAUUUGAUUAUAAAUGUUCUAUAUAUAACAUAUGUAUUUGAAUAAAGAAUCUCGUGUUAUGUCCCUGUUUAAUUGAGCUGUGCCAUUGUUGUAAGAGUCGGUGUUUUCCGUCUUCUCGUUGGUGUGUUGGUACUGUGUGUACCCUUGUUAUUGGCAUGUCUAAAAAUAAAUAUAUAUGUCAAUCAACUAAGUUUUAUGAGUACUUACCUGCCUCUCUUAUCUAAUUCAUGGACGGAUCACAUUUUAUAAAUUGAGCGAGGAGAUGUUAUUGUCGAGACUUGAAUCCUGGACUUUAAAUAUUAACACACAGCUCUUAACUACUUGCUCAAUUAUGGUAAAUAUCAUUAAUAAAUACUAAUAUCAACACGGAUGUUGGAAAUCACCACAGUUGGGUUGGGUGAAAAUCAAUAUGGAUGGAACGGUUGGGCGAAUGACUGAUAUAGCGACAGCAGGAGGAGUCAUCAGAGAUCAUAAUGUGAAGUGGCUGUGAGGCUGUUAUAGCAAUCUUGGUUCGUGUUCUGUGCUUCAUGCUGAGUUAUGGAGUGGUUGGGAGGGUUUCUUUCUGGCAUUGAAUUGCGGGUUUAGCAGGGUGGUUUCAGAAAUGGAUAAUGUAAAAAUAUUAUGUUCUCAGGAGAAUAAGGAAUAUACGGGUUAGCCAUGGGAAGUGAAGAUACAGCAUGCUUUGGUGAGGGUAAUUUUAUUCCAAAUGGUCUUGCAAACCAGCGGGUGAAUUCGAAUCCAGAAACACUUGUACUUAUCAGUGCACUAGACGAGAUCUUGAGAGAAUUACAUGAUGAAGCAUGCCAAAUUGGGUAUGGCAGGGUGUGAGUGUCUUAGUUGUAACUUUGUAUAGCUUUUUAUUUUACUCACGAAUUAAAAAAUAAUAUAAAUUCACGUAACUAAAUAAUAUUGCUUAAAGUGGUAUGAAGUAUGGAAUACUGGGGAAUUAUUAUACUUCUGUUUUUUGAAUUAUAUUUUAAAAUUCAUAUAUGUUUGUGGGAUCAAUUGGAUAUAUAAAAAGGACUGAUGUAAUUAUGCUUUCACUUUCAUUAUUAAGAUUAUCAAUUUAGUUUGUUAGUUGACAUAUAUGUUUAUUAAUAAAGUUAGCUUUUGAAAAAUAAAUAAAGUUAGCAAGAUUUAUGUACCAUCCUACCUAGGGUGGGACGAAUUUUUGCUUGUCCCUACUCAAACAAGAUGAACCCAACUUAAAUUUUAUUUAAUUAUUUUGUUUUUUAUUUUAAAAAUUAAUUUUUUGAGUUUACACAUAUAUAUAAUUAUAUGGCAGUGACAUUUUUGCAAAUAUUUAGGGACGGGUUGAGGGGAUUUACCUCAAACCCAAUUCCAACCCCUUAGCAUUUGAAUUUAUUGAAAUGCUUGGAGCAGAAGUCCAUUUAUUAUUGUUACAGUAUGCUUUUUUUUGUGCAAAGCUUGCUCUCGGAUUGCAAAGAAAAUCAAUUGGAUUUUGAUAGGAAGCUUUACCUAGUAUCUUUAUUUUUGUAAUCCCAGCCUUAUGGAUUUUAAUUUUAUGGUAAAAGUUCUAGGAAAGCCCUUAUACUUAAGGAGUGGAUUGCAUUUCGGCUCUUUCUAUUGAAAAAAUAAGUAAAUUAAUCUUUAUAUAUUUUGAAACGUGUAAAUUAAUUCGUCCAUUAAAUUUUAUGACGUGGAACGUUAAUUUAAAUGGUUGAUUACUAGUUUAAUCCCUGAACUAUAGUUAAAAUAUCAUUCUUUUUAAAAAUUCUUAACAAUAAUUCUAAAAAAUUAAAAAAAAAUCUUAAAAAUAAAUAUAACUUAUUAAAAAUUAUGUUAAAAUAUUUUAAAAAAUAAAAAUUAUAAAUAAAAAAUUCUAGAAAACAAAACUUAUAUCUAUUUUUUUUUUAAAAAUUGUCAAACUUUCAAGUCGAAACUUGAAACCAUCAUAUUUUUUUACAAGACUUUCUUCCCUGUUGUAAAAAACCCAAAAAAUCAAAAAGGUUUCUCAUGCUUGAUUGAAUUCAUAAAGAAAUAAAUAAAAACUUGAUUGAACCCAAGAAAAAUUAUCUAAAAGUUUUGACUACUCAUUUUCAAAUUUCUCAUACUUUCAUAAAUAUUCAUUUAAUCUUCGUCGCCUAUGCUUCCAACUAAAAUGUAUAUAAAAAUUUAUUUAAUGUUUACUUUAUUCUACAUUAGUGAAUACUCAUUUUUGCAUCUCCUAAUGAUGUAUAAUCAUAUUACAAAAUUUUGAUUACUCAUUUUCACAUCCCCUUAGCUAUUACAAACUUUCCUAUUUGAAAAAUCUUAUUGUUUUAUACCCUAGAAGCCUUAAUCUUUAAGCUACUGGGUUUUGAAUUUUUAAUAUAAAUGUGUGGGUUUUAUCUUUAAGCUUUAAUCUUGUUCGAAAAUUAGCAAAAGAUAAAUACAUUAAAAGCACAAAUUUAAAUUGCUAUCAUACCCUGAACCUAAACCCAUAAUUUAAUAGAAGACCCACCUUUGAACCGAUCUGACUCGACUAUUUUUCUAAUUUCACCCUAUAUGACCUACAUCGAACUUAAUUAUUCGAAAAUAAAAUUAGACCCAAACGGAUCGGGUCAGCACAAAACCCGUCAAAUUCACCAGGACGAAGACAAGGGGCAAGUAAUGCCCAAAAACAUAUAUAUAUAUAUAUAUAAUUUAGAUCUUUUAACAUUUAGGAAAUUUUAAAUUAAAAAAAAUACAUUUUAACAUUUUAAUCUCAAUAUUUAUGAUUCAUCUCUAUAUCCUUUUAAAAGUAUUUUUCUGGGUUCACCCUUACUCCAACCAUUCGUACUGCUUAGUAACAUAUAAACGUAACAAAUUAUUUAUCUCUCCCAUCAGUACUACAUGCACAUAAGUGCAUUCACUAUUCCAUGCAAUAUCUCAUUUGUCACAUGCAUUACGAACCUGGUCCCCAUCACUACAUGCACAUAAAUGCAUUCAUUAUUCCAUGCAAUAUCUCAUAUGUCACAGGCGUUACGAACCUGGACCAUCAUCUUUUCUAUAUAAAGGACCCUCCACCUACGAACAUUCCACACACAAAACAUAAUCAUGGAAUCCUUCAAGAAGAUCGUUUUUCUCAUCGUUGCUUUAUCUCUAGUUCUUCAAGCCACGGUGCCUCCAAACUGCGUUAGUCCUCUCGUAACGAGGUUAUGUCCUCUGCUGCUGUAUCGAAAGUGGCUAACGAUUCCAACGGUUUGGCUAAGGUUUUCGAGAAGGUAGGCCCUGGCUGCAAACCUAAAGGUUCGUUUUGCUUGUUUGACCUAACCAGUUGCUGUAGGCCUUGCGGAUGCCUUGCAGGGUGGUGCAAUAACAUUGAUCAUGAUUUCAAUUAAUGAGUACACAUAAUGGUCAUUACUGAGUCAAAAAAAAAAAAAAACACAGCUCUGAGUCAAAAAACGACAUGGGAUUCGAUUAUAAAUGUUCUAUAUAUAACAUAUGUAUUUGAAUAAAGAAUCUCGCGUUAUGUCCCUGUUUGGUUGUGCUGUGCCAUUUGUUGUGAGAGUUGGUGUUGUCCGUGUUCUCUUUGGUGUGUUGGUAGCAUUUUUCUCAAAAACAAAUUAAGUGCCUUUCACAAUUUUAAAUAUAAAAUAUUUAUUUUAUAUUAUAAAAAAUUAAAAUUAAUUAUUCGAUUCGAUUCAGUUUUCUAACUUGAAAGCCAAAACGAGUGAGUAGUAGCCUACUAGAGUAGAUUGAAUUAGCAAAUCGACACUAGUUUAUACGUGCUUCCUUUUGAACCGCUUCGAAAUCAGCUCCAAAAAACUGCUAGAGUCUCGAGCAACUUAAAAACCUCAAAAAAAAUUAUAGAGCUGAAAAGCACAAAAAAUGUACCGUUUCAGAGGCAGGUGAGCUGAAAAACUAGCAGCUGAAAGGGACAAACCCGUCACGUGCAGCUCUCCAAUAGCAGGUCAUGGAGUUCAGUGAAGAAAAACCACAGCAGGCAUAAGCAGCACAAAACCAGACCCAAACAGCUCAAUAAAUAGAAUUGAAACAGUUGAUUAGACCCAAACCAGCUCGAAUCAGUAGCAUCGUUUUCUAUAUAAUGGGCCUCCUCCACCUACAAGCUAUUCCACACACAAAAAACAUAAUCAUGGAGCGGUGCAAGAAGUUCGCUUUUCUGAUGGUUGCAAUGGCUCUGCUUCUUCAAUCCAUGGUGCCUCCGACAGCAUUAGCUGCUCUUAACAAUGUUAUGGAAUACAAUCCAUUGGCAAGCGUAUUCUCGAGGGAAGGCCCUGGCUGCAUCGCAAAAGGCGGGUUUUGCUUGUUUGACCUAACCAGUUGCUGUAGGCCAUGCGGAUGCCUUGCAGGGUGGUGCUAUAACAUUGAUCAUGAUUGCAAUGAGUACACAUAAUGGUCGCUACUGAGUUAAAAAAAAACAGUUCUGAGUCAAAAAAAUGACAUGGGAUUCGAUUAUAAAUGUUCUAUAUAUAACAUAUGUAUUUGAAUAAAGAAUCUCGUGUUAUGUCCCUGUUUAGUUGAGCUGUGCCAUUGUUGUAAGAGUUGGUGUUUUCCGUCUUCUCGUUGGUGUGUUGGUACUGUGUGUACCCUUGUUAUUGGCAUGUCUAAGAAUAAAUAUAUAUGUCAAUCAACUAAGUUUUAUGAGUAUUUACC
RNAcentral lists this long non-coding RNA (6258 nucleotides) under Gossypium raimondii (Peruvian cotton). RNAcentral describes it as "long non-coding RNA (GRAI_LNC005005)". The record is from RNAcentral. Lineage: Eukaryota; Viridiplantae; Streptophyta; Magnoliopsida; Malvales; Malvaceae.